UGCCUCCGAGCCCGAUCGGCCUCCCGUUCGUUCCCGUGGCUUCUGGAGUCUUCUAGAUGGUAGAAAAUUGCGCGGCACGUUAAUAUCUCCAUGUAAACCCGACGUGUGGGCCUUUCUUUCAUAUUUCCUGAUAACCCCCUGCAGAAAUAGACAAACACCAAAACUCGUGGAAUUCUGUCAGAUAAAACCCUAAGUCUAGGUGUUGGUUGCAUUUGGAUCCUUUUCUAUGAUUAGUUGAUGGUUAAAUGUGAGCAUUAAGGACCGUCAACA
Molecule: long non-coding RNA, 270 nt
Filed under: Sorghum bicolor (sorghum)
Lineage: Eukaryota; Viridiplantae; Streptophyta; Magnoliopsida; Poales; Poaceae
Description: long non-coding RNA (SBIC_LNC002882)
Source: RNAcentral